GGGCUCGUAGAUCAGUGGUAGAUCGUCUCCUUCGCAAGGAGAAGGCCUCGGGUUCGAAUCCCGACGAGUCCA
Molecule: transfer RNA, 72 nt
Organism: Halococcus morrhuae DSM 1307
Lineage: Archaea; Methanobacteriati; Methanobacteriota; Halobacteria; Halobacteriales; Halococcaceae
Rfam family: tRNA
About the family: Transfer RNA (tRNA) molecules are approximately 80 nucleotides in length.
Source: Rfam